UACGGAGGGAGCUAGCGUUGUUCGGAAUUACUGGGCGUAAAGCGCGCGUAGGCGGCUUUGUAAGUUAGAGGUGAAAGCCCGGGGCUCAACCCCGGAACUGCCUUUAAGACUGCAUCGCUUGAAUCCGGGAGAGGUGAGUGGAAUUCCGAGUGUAGAGGUGAAAUUCGUAGAUAUUCGCAAGAACACCAGUGGCGAAGGCGGCUCACUGGCCCGAUACUGACGCUGAGGUGCGAAGCGUGGGGAGCAAACAGGAUUGAGAU
This 260-nucleotide ribosomal RNA is filed under the name uncultured bacterium. RNAcentral's name for it is "partial 16S ribosomal RNA". It matches the Rfam family "Bacterial small subunit ribosomal RNA", at positions 524 to 783 of the family's 1533-position model. The record is from RNAcentral.